GCCGAUGUGGCUCAGUGGACAGAGCAUCAGCCUGCGGACUGCAGGGUCCCGGGUUCGAUUCCGGUCAAGGGCA
Molecule: transfer RNA, 73 nt
Filed under: Myotis lucifugus (little brown bat)
Lineage: Eukaryota; Metazoa; Chordata; Mammalia; Chiroptera; Vespertilionidae
Rfam family: tRNA
About the family: Transfer RNA (tRNA) molecules are approximately 80 nucleotides in length. Their secondary structure includes four short double-helical elements and three loops (D, anti-codon, and T loops).
Source: Rfam by way of RNAcentral